RNAcentral lists this ribosomal RNA (500 nucleotides) under uncultured bacterium. RNAcentral's name for it is "partial 16S ribosomal RNA". It matches the Rfam family "Bacterial small subunit ribosomal RNA", at positions 30 to 523 of the family's 1533-position model. The record is from RNAcentral.
AUUGAACGCUGGCGGAAUGCUUUACACAUGCAAGUCGAACGGCAGCACGGACUUCGGUCUGGUGGCGAGUGGCGAGCGGGUGAGUAAUGUAUCGGAACGUGCCCAGUCGUGGGGGAUAACGUAGUGAAAAUUACGCUAAUACCGCAUACGAUCUAUGGAUGAAAGCGGGGGAUCGCAAGACCUCGCGCGAUUGGAGCGGCCGAUAUCAGAUUAGGUAGUUGGUGGGGUAAAGGCCCACCAAGCCAAGGAUCUGUAGCUGGUCUGAGAGGACGACCAGCCACACUGGAACUGAGACACGGUCCAGACUCCUACGGGAGGCAGCAGUGGGGAAUUUUGGACAAUGGGCGAAAGCCUGAUCCAGCCAUUCCGCGUGCAGGAUGAAGGCCCUCGGGUUGUAAACUGCUUUUGUACAGAACGAAAAGGUUUCUACUAAUACUAGGAGCUCAUGACGGUACUGUAAGAAUAAGCACCGGCUAACUACGUGCCAGCCGCCGCGGUAA